GUGAAUCAUCAAAUCUUUGAACGCAAAUUGCACUCCCUGGUAUUCCGGGGAGUAUGCCUGUUUGAGGGUCGGUAUUACAAAAAUCUAGGCGUCGCUCUUUUUUUUAAGGGUUAUGGCGUCGGAGUUGAUCCUUCUUUUAAAGGUUAAUUCAUGUAAAAUUGGCCUGAAAUUCACCUUUCUGGUAGUAUUAAAGU
RNAcentral lists this unclassified non-coding RNA (194 nucleotides) under Glomeraceae sp. Its description in RNAcentral is "partial contains 5.8S ribosomal RNA and internal transcribed spacer 2". The stretch from base 1 to 71 matches the Rfam family "5.8S ribosomal RNA", at positions 84 to 154 of the family's 154-position model. Lineage: Eukaryota; Fungi; Glomeromycota; Glomeromycetes; Glomerales; Glomeraceae. The record is from RNAcentral.